Molecule: transfer RNA, 76 nt
Filed under: Olavius algarvensis Delta 4 endosymbiont
Lineage: Bacteria; Deltaproteobacteria
Also listed under: 1 other name
Rfam family: tRNA
About the family: Transfer RNA (tRNA) molecules are approximately 80 nucleotides in length. Their secondary structure includes four short double-helical elements and three loops (D, anti-codon, and T loops). Further hydrogen bonds mediate the characteristic L-shaped molecular structure. tRNAs have two regions of fundamental functional importance: the anti-codon, which is responsible for specific mRNA codon recognition, and the 3' end, to which the tRNAs corresponding amino acid is attached (by aminoacyl-tRNA synthetases). tRNAs cope with the degeneracy of the genetic code in two manners: having more than one tRNA (with a specific anti-codon) for a particular amino acid; and 'wobble' base-pairing, i.e. permitting non-standard base-pairing at the 3rd anti-codon position.
Source: RNAcentral
GCCACCGUAGCUCAGUUGGUAGAGCGACGCACUCGUAAUGCGUAGGUCUGCGGUUCGACUCCGCACGGUGGCUCCA